GGAGUUGUGGCUCAGUGGUAGAGUGCUCACCUAGUAUGUGUGAGGCCCUGGGUUCAAUCCUCAGCACCA
This 69-nucleotide transfer RNA is filed under the name Ictidomys tridecemlineatus (thirteen-lined ground squirrel). RNAcentral describes it as "Spermophilus tridecemlineatus (thirteen-lined ground squirrel) tRNA". It matches the Rfam family "tRNA". From Rfam's summary of the family: Transfer RNA (tRNA) molecules are approximately 80 nucleotides in length. Their secondary structure includes four short double-helical elements and three loops (D, anti-codon, and T loops). The record is from Rfam by way of RNAcentral. Lineage: Eukaryota; Metazoa; Chordata; Mammalia; Rodentia; Sciuridae.